This 239-nucleotide unclassified non-coding RNA is filed under the name Hevea brasiliensis (rubber tree). Lineage: Eukaryota; Viridiplantae; Streptophyta; Magnoliopsida; Malpighiales; Euphorbiaceae. The record is from RNAcentral.
GGGCCAUCACCCUCAACUGAGUUGAUUUCAUAAAUUUGACCUUCAGUAAAUUCUAUGUCCAAUGCCUGAAUGCAAGCUUCAGCGACUACAAGUCUGCUUACCUCUCCCACAAGUUUAUCACCUUAAUCAAUAAGAACUGCAUGCCGUUUCCCAGCAGUAGCUUUGAGCAGGGUAUUUAGAUCAUAUGAUGUGUAAGGUCCAUCUGUUAAUCUACCAGGUCUAAUGAUGGUGAAUGGAAG